GGCUCGCAGGCGGUUUCUUAAGUCUGAUGUGAAAGCCCCCGGCUCAACCGGGGAGGGUCAUUGGAAACUGGGAAACUUGAGUGCAGAAGAGGAGAGUGGAAUUCCACGUGUAGCGGUGAAAUGCGUAGAGAUGUGGAGGAACACCAGUGGCGAAGGCGACUCUCUGGUCUGUAACUGACGCUGAGGAGCGAAAGCGUGGGGAGCGAACAGGAUUAGAUACCCUGGUAGUCCACGCCGUAAACGAUGAGUGCUAAGUGUUAGGGGGUUUCCGCCCCUUAGUGCUGCAGCUAACGCAUUAAGCACUCCGCCUGGGGAGUACGGUCGCAAGACUG
This 332-nucleotide ribosomal RNA is filed under the name Bacillus sp. (in: firmicutes). RNAcentral's name for it is "bacterial SSU rRNA". It matches the Rfam family "Bacterial small subunit ribosomal RNA", at positions 566 to 896 of the family's 1533-position model. The record is from RNAcentral. Lineage: Bacteria; Bacillati; Bacillota; Bacilli; Caryophanales; Bacillaceae.